CCUACGGGGGGCUGCAGUGAGGAAUAUUGGUCAAUGGACGAGAGUCUGAACCAGCCAAGUAGCGUGAAGGAUGACUGCCCUAUGGGUUGUAAACUUCUUUUAUAAAGGAAUAAAACGAGGCACGUGUGCCCUUUUGCAUGUACUUUAUGAAUAAGGAUCGGCUAACUCCGUGCCAGCAGCCGCGGUAAUACGGAGGAUCCGAGCGUUAUCCGGAUUUAUUGGGUUUAAAGGGAGCGUAGAUGGGUUGUUAAGUCAGUUGUGAAAGUUUGCGGCUCAACCGUAAAAUUGCAAUUGAUACUGGCAGUCUUGAGUACAGUUGAGGUAGGCGGAAUUCGUGGUGUAGCGGUGAAAUGCUUAGAUAUCACGAAGAACCCCGAUUGCGAAGGCAGCUUACUAAACUGUGACUGACAUUGAUGCUCGAAAGUGUGGGUAUCAAACAGGAUUAGAUACCCGGGUAGUC
Molecule: ribosomal RNA, 460 nt
Filed under: uncultured bacterium
Lineage: Bacteria
Description: partial 16S ribosomal RNA
Rfam family: Bacterial small subunit ribosomal RNA
Source: RNAcentral